UGCGUAACGCGUGGGAAUCUGCCCUUUGCUUCGGAAUAACAGUUAGAAAUGACUGCUAAUACCGGAUGAUGUCGCAAGACCAAAGAUUUAUCGGCAAAGGAUGAGCCCGCGUAGGAUUAGCUUGUUGGUGAGGUAAAAGCUCACCAAGGCGACGAUCCUUAGCUGGUCUGAGAGGAUGAUCAGCCACACUGGGACUGAGACACGGCCCAG
Molecule: ribosomal RNA, 210 nt
Filed under: uncultured bacterium
Lineage: Bacteria
Description: partial 16S ribosomal RNA
Rfam family: Bacterial small subunit ribosomal RNA
Source: RNAcentral